UUCCAAUCGUUUUUAUGUUGCUGUUAGGUGUCUCCAUUUAUUCUUUAGAGCUUCUACGGGUUCAAUUUAUGAUGUUCUCCUUCGAAGAGUAAAUUUGCAUGUUAUCAUCUACUUUGAUUUGCUUAGUUCUACCCAUUUCUGCCAAUGAAUUUUCUUGUUAUACUAUGAUUCUCCCCACCAGAAGUUACAUAUUAUGCUCUCCAUCUUUGUGGUAAAUGGUAUUGGGGAUAAGGAAAGAAGUCGUGAUGUAAGUGGGAAUA
This 260-nucleotide long non-coding RNA is filed under the name Lathyrus oleraceus (garden pea). RNAcentral's name for it is "Pisum sativum (pea) long non-coding RNA (PSAT_LNC039363)". The record is from RNAcentral. Lineage: Eukaryota; Viridiplantae; Streptophyta; Magnoliopsida; Fabales; Fabaceae.